GACGAACGCUGGCGGCGUGCUUAACACAUGCAAGUCGAACGAAGUGGCGAACGGGUGAGUAACGCGUAAUCAACCUGCCCUUCCGAGGGGGACCACAGUUGGAAACGACUGCUAAUACCGCAUACUGAUGGUGGGGAUUGUGUCUGAUUAGCUAGUUGGGUGGGUAACGGCCCACAAAGGCGAUGAUCAGUCGCCGGUCUGAGGGGGUGAACGGCCACAUUGGGACUGAGACAAGGCCCAGACUCCUACGGGAGGCAGCAGUGGGGAAUCUUCCGCAAUGGACGAAAGUCUGACGGAGCAACGCCGCGUGAGUGAUGACGGCCUUCGGGUUGUAAAGCUCUGUUAAUCGGGACGCGGUACCGAAAUAGAAAGCCACGGCUAACUACGUGCCAGCAGCCGCGGUAAUAC
Molecule: ribosomal RNA, 408 nt
Filed under: uncultured bacterium
Lineage: Bacteria
Description: partial 16S ribosomal RNA
Rfam family: Bacterial small subunit ribosomal RNA
Source: RNAcentral